Molecule: ribosomal RNA, 279 nt
Filed under: uncultured bacterium
Lineage: Bacteria
Description: partial 16S ribosomal RNA
Rfam family: Bacterial small subunit ribosomal RNA
Source: RNAcentral
UGCCAGCAUCCGCUGUACUCCUAAGGGUGCUAUCGUUGUUCGGAAUUACUGGGCGUAAAGAGCAUGUAGGCGGAUGAAUUAGUCAGAGGUGAAAGCCCCGAGCUCAACCUUGGAACUGCAUUUGAAACUGGGAGUCUAGAGAUCAGGAGAGGUUAGUGGAAUACCGAGUGUAGAGGUGAAAUUCGUAGAUAUUGGGAAGAACACCAGUGGCGAAGGCGGCUAACUGGCUCGGUACUGACGCUGAGAUGCGAAAGCGUGGGGAGCAAACAGGAUUAGAUA